This 259-nucleotide ribosomal RNA is filed under the name uncultured bacterium. RNAcentral's name for it is "partial 16S ribosomal RNA". It matches the Rfam family "Bacterial small subunit ribosomal RNA", at positions 96 to 354 of the family's 1533-position model. The record is from RNAcentral.
UGGCGACGGGUGAGUAACACGUGAGCAACCUGCCUUUCAGAGGGGGAUAACGUUUGGAAACGAACGCUAAUACCGCAUAAAAUAUCGGAGUCGCAUGGCACUGAUAUCAAAGGAGCAAUCCGCUGAAAGAUGGGCUCGCGUCCGAUUAGGCAGUUGGCGGGGUAACGGCCCACCAAACCGACAAUCGGUAGCCGGACUGAGAGGUUGAACGGCCACAUUGGGACUGAGACACGGCCCAGACUCCUACGGGAGGCAGCAG